RNAcentral lists this ribosomal RNA (253 nucleotides) under uncultured bacterium. RNAcentral describes it as "partial 16S ribosomal RNA". It matches the Rfam family "Bacterial small subunit ribosomal RNA", at positions 524 to 776 of the family's 1533-position model. The record is from RNAcentral.
UACGCGGGGGGCAAGCGUUGUUCGGAAUUAUUGGGCGUAAAGGGCGCGUAGGCGGUGCGGUAAGUCACCUGUGAAAACUCUGGGCUCAACUCAGAGCCUGCAGGCGAAACUGCCGUGCUUGAGUGUGGGAGAGGUGCGUGGAAUUCCCGGUGUAGCGGUGAAAUACGUAGAUAUCGGGAAGAACACCCGUGGCGAAGGCGGCUCUCUGGAACGCAACUGACGCUGAGACGCGAAAGCGUGGGGAGCAAACAGG